AACGAACGCUGGCGGCAUGCCUAACACAUGCAAGUCGAACGAGACCUUCGGGUCUAGUGGCGCACGGGUGCGUAACGCGUGGGAACCUGCCCUUAGGUUCGGAAUAACUCCCCGAAAGGGGUGCUAAUACCGGAUAAUGUCUUCGGACCAAAGAUUUAUCGCCUUUGGAUGGGCCCGCGUUGGAUUAGCUAGUUGGUAGGGUAAAAGCCUACCAAGGCGACGAUCCAUAGCUGGUCUGAGAGGAUGAUCAGCCACACUGGGACUGAGACACGGCCCAGACUCCUACGGGAGGCAGCAGUGGAGAAUAUUGGACAAGGGGCGAAAGUCUGAUCCAGCAAUGCCGCGUGAGUGAUGAAGGCCUUAGGGUUGUAAAUCUCUUUUACCCGGGAUGAUAAUGACAGUACCGGGAGAAUAAGCUCCGGCUAACUCCGUG
This 433-nucleotide ribosomal RNA is filed under the name uncultured bacterium. RNAcentral's name for it is "partial 16S ribosomal RNA". It matches the Rfam family "Bacterial small subunit ribosomal RNA", at positions 29 to 507 of the family's 1533-position model. The record is from RNAcentral.